CUUGGAAUGCGUCAGUCACACUUCUGAUACAUUAUUUAUUCUAUCUAUUCUGAUGAUUAUUUAUUUUCAACAAGAUUUUGUCUGUCUUAUUUUCUUACACCUUUUAUUUUAUCUCUUUUCUUGCUUGUUUGUAAAUGUUUUCUUUUCAGUGCCAGUGAGAUCUUGCAUUUAUCAAACACCUAUUGUGUUCCUGCAGCAAUUGCCACUGUCGUCACUAUUGCAGAGAUUCUGAAAAACAAUGGAUUGGCGAUUGAGAAGAGUGAGAAUUCUUUUUUAGCUUACUGUUCAACAUAUGUUUCAGAUGUUAAGCACUGCAAUCUGAUCUAGCUUAGUAAGUCUUUAUAUUAGUUGUGCUAAAGUUUAAAAUUUGUAGCUUAAGUGAACAAGAUCAGAUGUUUAAUCUCUAGAGGCUGGAUCUACAAUCUCAUAAAUCCACCACUACUUUUUGACGUCAUAUGAUGUAUAGAAGGUGGCCGGGUGGGUUUCUUAAUUGUGGCCAAUUUUGGCGGUUGCAGAGAUCUCAUGUACACUGGUUGUAAAUGAAUACUGAUCUAAAGAUUGUUAUGAGGAAAACAUUUAUUUUUCCAUGUGGUUAGCUAAUCGUCAUUAUCUCGGUCAAUUUUUGAAAAAAUGAUUGUUCAGCAGUAUUAUAUGGUCGUCAUUCUUCAAUCUUCACUAGUGAUAAACUAGCAUAUAGAUACAACACCACUUUUUUGCGUACUGCAUAGACAAUUUGGCUAAUGCUUUGAUGGAAUUACAUUUUUCUCCCAGUUAUCAUGUCGGUGAACUGGUGAAGCUAUAGUACAGAAUAUCGUUAAAUUCCUCAAUAAAUAAACAAAUAUGCACUGACAUUGAAGAGGCAAAAUCAUUACUUAAUCACAUUAUAUUUUUCAAUUAAUUGCAAAAACCUAAAAAUCUUGGUAAAUAAUCAAAAUAUCGCGAUAUGUUAUUUUUGUUUGUGAACAAAAUCUGAUCAACACGUGUUUAAUUUGUUGGUUUAGGAACAGGAUCUGCUAUUCUGUUCUUUUUAACGACUGGUUUUUAAGAAACUCUUUCCCCAAUUUCUUUAUGGUAAACAAGAUUUGCAUCCAAUAUAGUGUUCUGGGUUCUUUUGAAGUUUUUUUCCGCCCUUUUCUUCACAAUGGCAAAAACUUGGUCUACAGUAGCGCUCAUUUUAAUUUCUGUGUGUUAAUGUGAAUCAUACACGAAUAUUUUAUGUUAUUUUUUUUUUUUUUGUAUAACAGUAGAUUCUAUCCCAUACAUGUUACUAUUUGAGUAGAUUCAGUUUCUUCCCAGAUAUAUACCCAAUAUAUUUUUAUCUAGUUUUAUCAGUUUAAGAAAAAAUAUUUGAUCUGAUCGAUAAAAUCCUGAUAGAUGAUUCAGGCACACUUUUUGUAACGUUAAACUAUUAGACUAGAUGGUCUUAACUAGGAAUGCCUCCUAGCCUGGAGCUGCUGCUCAUUUGUUACAAGCAAAAGAUAACUGCUUAUUUUUUUUUUUAAGAGGUGAUUAACACAUGUUGGUUUCAUUCAUAUUUCAGAUUGAAAUAUUGCUGGCGAAAACCGAGGACUUUGAUGAAUUGAUGGCUGCUGCUGCUGAAGAGAGGGAGAUGGAUGACGUUGAGGAACAGAGUUGAAUGGAUUGCGAGUUCACAAAGCUUCUAGGCUGUUGUUUGUCAAUCCAUGUGUUCUUCAAUGCAUUCGAUAAUAGUAUCUGUGCUUGGCUACAUGCCUUAAAUGUGGAUUUGUUGCCUAAUGGUGGUCAUUGUAGUCUCAUUUCCAGAGUGUGUAGUAGAUGUGAUGUAGUUUCUUAGCGUCCAGUUAGAAACUAGCUUCGGAGCAGGACUGUAAAAAAAAAAUAGUUUUCUGGAAUUCUGAUAUAGAUUUGUCUUUAUAAAGAAAAUAUUCUUAUUUAACCGUAUACUCUAGAGCUUGAUAAAAUGUUCAUUUUGGUCAUUAUACUUUGCACGUUUUUGCAGUUU
This 1981-nucleotide long non-coding RNA is filed under the name Aquilegia coerulea. RNAcentral describes it as "long non-coding RNA (ACOE_LNC001171)". Lineage: Eukaryota; Viridiplantae; Streptophyta; Magnoliopsida; Ranunculales; Ranunculaceae. The record is from RNAcentral.